Molecule: long non-coding RNA, 645 nt
Organism: Lolium perenne
Lineage: Eukaryota; Viridiplantae; Streptophyta; Magnoliopsida; Poales; Poaceae
Source: RefSeq, a predicted model, not a curated record
ACUCCCUCACACUCUCCUCUACCUCUCCCCCAUGAAAAUGCUGCUGCCCCUUGCUCCCAUGGCCGGCCAUGACCAUGGAAGGCACUCCAAGAUGAAGCUCCCUCCUCCCUCAAGCUCCUCCUCACCAUGAGAGCCUCCCUCUCCUUCUUCUCCCAAACCCUAGAUGGUUUUCUCUCCUCUUCCUCUUCCUCCAUUUCUAAGAUUGGAUCUUGAUGCAGGUGCAUGUUGGUCCAAGCAUGGAGAAGCUUGAGCUAUCCUCAGAUCUGAAGUUCUUGAGCAAAAUCCAAAUCGAGUGAUUCAAAGUUCCGCAGAUAGAUACGGAAAAUAUCUACAACUUGGCGUUGGUCUCAUCCUCAAAUUCGUUACGGAUUGUCCGUGGUGAAAGCCCUCUUCAAUACCUUCAUUUUGGCAGUGGUUUCACUUCGAUUGACCUCCUGAAACUGAAAUGGUUCACAGGGGAUGUUUGGUUUAUACCAUGGUGAUAACCGAGAGAGGCAAUUGCUAAGUUGUGAUACUCUCAUACCUUUACUAGACGCGAGCAAUUCCGGAGAAGAAGAAGAAGUGGAAUUGGACAAGGAUUUUAUUUAUAUUGUUGGGAUUCUUAUUUUGAUAGAGUUGAAGAAGUACAGGGACAAAUAAGCCAAG